CCACAGUACAGACAACAGUUAUUAUUCAUCCUCCAUGAGCGCUCCCAAACUGAUAGCCUAGUUCUUCCCAACUGCAUAGGCUCAGGAGUAUCCAACUCCCCUUCGACUCCUCUCACAAGAGCUGCCUUCAGAAACUUCCGGAUUCCAUAGGAGGUGAAUGCGCCAUAUUGGGUGCACGAGCGUGCCCGAGACAAGACCUCCUCUCACUCUUGCGUUCCCUUAGGCGUCCAUCAAUUUUAAUUGUUAAGGCGAUAAGAGAUUCGAGGUACACUGGCAGUUCCCGAGCAGCUAGCUCAUCCUUUACCUCCUCAGAUAAUCCGUGCAGAAAAGUAUUGAAAAGAGACUCCGGAUUCCAGGCACUCUCGGCAGCCAACGUGCAAAAGUCCACCGCGUAGUCUGCCACACUAGGGGAGUUUUGACAUAAAUCAAGCAGUUUGCUGGCCGCCUUUCUCCCGGAUACCGGAGACUCAAAAACUUUUCUGACCUCUGCCAUGAAUUCCUCCAAAUGACUGCAAAUGGUAGAUUGUUGUUCCCAAACUGCCGUAGCCCAGGAGAGCAUCCUUCCCGACAUUAGCGUAAGGUAAAACUCCUUACGUAAGACAACUCCUGGAUGUCUCCUUACAUACCGUUGAUCGGUCUGAAGAAAACAAAGAUGGCUGUAGCUCAAAAAUAAGCGAGCACUGAGAGAAAAAAACCCGGCAGGUACCAGGAUUUCCCGAAUAUCGCUCUGGAGGAGGAGGUGCUGAAGGACCUGUCUGACAUGGAGUACAUGUUCUUGGGCAGAUCAGGAAAAAAAAAACAGGAUGUCAUCCAGGUAGAUGAACACAAACUGGCUUAGCAUGUCCCUAAGCACUUUAUUGACCAAAGCCUGGAAGACAGCAAGGGCAUUGUUGAGUCCAAAUGACAUGACCUGGUACUCAUAAUGUCCACUGGCUGUGUUGAAGGUGGUCUUCCACUCAUCCCCCUCGCGUAUUCAAACCAGGUGGUAGACAUUCCGAAGGUCCAACUUGGAAAACAUGGUAGCCCCCUGGAGAGGUUAAAACGCAGAGGAGAGGCAGGGGGUAACGAUUUUUGACAGUGAUAUCGUUAAGUCUCCGGUAGUCAAUGCACGGGCACAGGGUCUUGUCCUUCUUCUCCACAAAGAAAAACCCUGCGCCGGCAGGAUAUGCAGAUGGACGGACGGCCCCAGCGGCCAGAGACUCUUCUAUG
RNAcentral lists this long non-coding RNA (1209 nucleotides) under Salmo salar (Atlantic salmon). RNAcentral's name for it is "lncRNA (ENSSSAG00000087577.1, ENSSSAG00020069639.1, ENSSSAG00075039125.1)". Lineage: Eukaryota; Metazoa; Chordata; Actinopteri; Salmoniformes; Salmonidae. The record is from RNAcentral.